AUAUAUCUGGUGACAAUUACUAACUUUUUUUAGGUGAUGAUGAAUACAUGUUCUUGAAAACUAGUUUCUCCAUCUAUCUAAGAUUGACCCCAAGCCCAAGAUAGUUAAUGGCAUAACUAUGUCUUCUCCAAUAACAACAUACCCAGUGUAAUCCCAUAGAAAGGGUCUGGGAGGGUAGAGUGUAAGUAGACUUACCCCUACCUCUUGGUGGUAGAGAGGUUGUUUCCGAAAUACCCCUGGCUCAACUUUGUCGUCUCCAUGAACAAAUAUUGGAAAAGAAAUCUAACAAAAGUACAACUGCAAGACAAAUAUAUGGUAUAUAUUUGGAUCUUUAGCACAACAAAAAUAUUAAUGUUCCAGUAGGCCCUUCAUAUAUUUCAAAAAACUAUCCAACAAAGGACAGAUAAAAAUAUGAAUCGUUAGUAGUUUAUUUUUGAAGACGCAGCACCAAGGAGUUGCUGGCAAAUUGAUAGCAUGGACAGAACUGGAGGAUUGUCCUCAUGUAACUGUGAGCACAACCUAGUGAAUGGAAGAACCCUUGACAAAGGAGAAUACUCUAUCAAAGUUAUAGUAUUGUUAUGCCUCUUCUUUAUUUAUAGAAGUUAUAACAGUAGUAGUAUCUGGGCCAGCUUGCAUGCACCUCAACUAUUCCAUAGGGUACUACUACAGGAUCACCCGCACAAGUACCGAAUAACUCUGCGCACCAAGGCUUAGGCAGAUGGAAGAGAUAAUCUAGCAUUUUUUGUCUCUACUGGGGUUUGAACCCAGGUCUCCAAAGUUGUCGCCCACUUUAUUGACCUCUAGGUCAUACCUUAGGUUGCAAAUGCCUCUUAUUUAUCAUUGAAGCCCCAAUAAAUCCUUUCUUUGUAAAGGUGAUUUCUUAGAAAGAAAGAUUUGUGUAUGGAUUCAUCUACAUUUAUAUCCCUACUUUUGUGCAAUAUUAGUUUUUGAUGCACGUGUGUUGCAUUUGAAUGCCAAACUAUGUAGUACACUUUUUUAAAAAUAAUGUUCAUAUUAUUUUAUUUUAUUUUUGAUGAAGAUAAUGUUGUAUUCAUCAGCAUUAAGGAUAUGCUGGAGACCUCGAAAAAUUGGUUUCCAACAAGAGAAAACAAAAAGGCCAAUAGAUUACAAAGUGCCUAUAAAAUCCAAAAUUUGUGCAGCUUCUUCUAUCCCUUCCUCUUUACACCAAAAAUAAAAAGUAGUCAAGCAGUUCCAUUUGACUUUCUCUAUUGAAUUAGCUUUGUUAUCAUAGCAUCUGCUAUUUCUUUCUUUCCAAAUACACCACCAAAUGCAUGAUGGUAUUAUACUCCACUUUUUCUUAGAUUUUCUCCCCCCUCUGCUGAUCCAGCAACUAAGUAGAUCUGUUGUAUGCUCAGGCAUAAUCCAUUCUGUAUGUGUUAGUCCCAAAAAAAGGUUCCACAAUUGUGUUGUCUCUUUGCAAUGGAGGAACAAAUGGUUGUUGGUUUCCUCAGUCUCAUUACAGAGAGAGCACCAAGAGGCAAUAUAGAAACCCCUCCUUUCAAUUUCUCAUGUGUGGAACAUGCUCUUCUGGCAACCAACCAAGAGAAAUACUUCACCAACCUUGGCACCUUGUUCCUCCAAAUCUGCUUCCAGGGGGGAAGCUUACCACCUGGAUGCUCCUUCACCUCCUUAAUAUAUAGCUUGUUAACAGAAAGGCUUCCAUCUCUAAAGUGUUUCCAUAUGAUAGAAUCCGUUUCUGCCGAUAACCCAUUGAACCCAUUGAGAACAUGUAAUAGCUCAGCCACUCUCUCAAUCUCCCAGUCAUUUAAAUGCCUUCUAAACACAAUAUUCCAUCCAUGAAUAGACCAUACCUCAGCCACUGUUUCUUCCGGAUUGGUACACAAGGAGAAUAGGUCAGGAAAUAAGACCAUCAGUGCCUCAUUUUCCAUUCCAAUUCUCUUUCCAGAAUAGGAUUUUCGUCCCAUUUCCCACCUUGUAGACUGUUUCUACUUAGAUCAGGCCACAAAUUUCUUAUUGUUAUUAUUAAACCAUAAAUUUAAGUGAACAAUUAUAAAUGGAAUAAUAAAGUAUCAGUUCCUAUGAAUAAUGGAUGUAAAUUUUUUUAUGAUUAUUAACUGUGCGCAUAUUAAAAGUUGCUAAAUCAGUAUAUGAAAAUAUCUAUAUAUAUUUAUAAUAUAUAAAGCUAGAUAUAGAUAAGGUGAUGUGACACCUUUCUAUAGCCUCCAAUUGCAUUUAUCUUUUUUCUCCUUUUUUGACUUUUCUCAUUUUAAAAUUAAUUCAUAUGUAAAAAUAAAAGUCAUACAUCUCUUAAUUACAACUUUUAAAUAUACCUUCUCUCAUUGCUAAGUUAUUAUUGUAUUGUUGGGGCACCUGUUUUAGAUAUAAUAUAAAUAAACAAGUAAACAUAAAAUAUAGAAUAUAUACUAAAUUAGGUGUUUUUAGUUGGGGUAUUGUAGUAAUUUAACGUUCUACUUAACAUCUAACUCACUCAGUGACUGCAAAUCACACUCGAGUUUUUUUUUAAGAAUAGAAAACUUAAAACAUUCAUAGUUUAAAAAUGUGAGAAAAUCCUUCAAUUUAUAGUCAACAAAGCGUAGUAUGAGCAUAGGCUUAUUGUGCUUUAUUAGAAAAGUCACAACCAUGUGGAAAGGUCACAACUCAUCAGAAAAGUCAUAACUCUUUGAGAAACUCACAACCCUUCAGAAAAGUGGCAACCCUUCAAUGUGAAAAGGUGUUUGCUUUCAAUAAAUAAAUGUAAUCAUAGAACCUAUAGAAGGUAUACUAAAUUGUGUGUUUUAAGAAAGAACAGAAAACUUUAAAAAAUUGUAGUUUACAAAUGUGAGAAAACCCCUCUAUUUAUAUCCAACAAUGGGUAGAAUGAACAUGUGCUUAUUGUGCCUUAUCAAAAAAGUCACAACCCUUCGGAAAGGUCACAACCCUUCAAUGUGAAAAUGUGUCGGCUUUUAAUAUAAUAUAAUAUAAUAUAAUAUAUAUAAACAUAAUACAAAAUAUAGAAGAUAUACUAAAAUGGGCGUUUUAAGAAAGACGAAUAGAAAACCUAAAAAAAAUUAGUUUAAAAAUGAGAACAAAUCCCUCUAUUUAUAGCCAACAAAGGAUAGUAUGAACAAGUCCUUAUUGUGCCUUAUUAAAAAGUAACACCCUUCGAAAAGGUCACAACUCAUUGGAAAAGUCACAACUCUUGAAAAAAGUGACAAUCCUUCGAGAAAGGUCAAAACCCUUCGAAAAAGUCACAAACCUUCAAUGUGAAAAGAUGUUCGCUUUUAAUAUAAUGUAACAUAAAUAUAAUAUAAUAUAAUAUAAUAUAAAAUAUAAAAAUAUACUAAAUUGGGUGUUCUAAGAAAGUAGGAAGAAUAGAAACCUUUAAAAAAAAUUAGUUUACAAAAUGUGAGAGAACCCUUCAAUUUAUAGUCAACAAAGGGUAGUAUGAACAUGUGCUUAUUAGGCCUUAUUGGAAAAGUCACAACGCUUCAAUCUGAAAAGGUGUUUGCUUUUAAUAAAAUAUAAUAUAAAAAAAAUAUAUAUAUACAAUAUAAAAUAUAGAAGAUAUACUAAAUUGGUGUUUUAAGAAAGAAGAAUAGAAAACUUCCAAAAAUUAUAGUUUAAAAAUGUGAGGAACACCUCUAUUUAUAGCCAACAAAGGGUAGUAUGAACAUGUGUCUUAUUAGGCCCUUAUUAGGAAAAGUCACAAACGCUUCAAUCUGAAAAGGUGUUUGCUUUUAAUAAAAUAUAAUAUAAAAAAAAUAUAUAUAUACAAUAUAAAAUAUAGAAGAUAUACUAAAUUGGUGUUUUAAGAAAGAAGAAUAGAAAACUUCCAAAAAUUAUAGUUUAAAAAUGUGAGGAACACCUCUAUUUAUAGCCAACAAAGGGUAGUAUGAACAUGUGUUUAUUGUGCCCUACCAAAAAAGGUACAACCCUUCGAAAAUGUCACAACUCAUCAAAAAAGUCACAACUUUUUGAAAAAGUCAUAACCCUUUGGAAAAGUCGCACCCAUUCAAUGUGAAAAGGUAUUUUGCUUUUAAUAUAACAAAAUAUAAAUAAAUAAAUAAAUAAAUAUAAUAUAAAAGAUAUAUUAAAUUGAAUGUUUUUUAAGUUGGGGGUAUUAUAGUAAUUUAAUAUUCAAAUUAGGGAGUUCAUGCUUUUAUGGUAGUAAGUAUAAGUAUAUAGAUAAUACCUAUAUAUAUUUCUAUCAAGACAUGAAUAGCAUCCUAAAUAUAAGGAUUCAACCUAGUUGUGCUUCAAUAAAUCCCUUCUUGUAUAGGUGAUUGUUAGAUUUCUUAGAAAGAAAG
Molecule: long non-coding RNA, 4289 nt
Filed under: Solanum tuberosum (potato)
Lineage: Eukaryota; Viridiplantae; Streptophyta; Magnoliopsida; Solanales; Solanaceae
Description: long non-coding RNA (STUB_LNC009087)
Source: RNAcentral